AGUGAACGCUGGCGGUAUGCCUAACACAUGCAAGUCGAACGGCCGCACAGUAAGAGCUUGCUCCUACGGGUGGCGAGUGGCGGACGGGUGAGGAAUACAUCGGCAUCUACUUAUUCGUGGGGGACAUCGUAGGGAAACUUACGCUAAUACCGCAUACGAUCUACGGCUGAAAUCAGUGGAUCUUCGGACCUUGCCCGUCUCAAUGAGCCGAGGUCGGAUUAGCUAGUUGGCGGGGUAAAGGCCCACCAAGGCGACGCUCCGUAGCUGGUCCGACCGGAUGAUCCGCCACACUGGAACUGAGGCCCGGUCCAGGCUCCUAAGGGAGGCAGCCGUGGGGAAUUUUGGACAAUGGGCGGAAGCCUGAUCCAGCCAUACCGGGUGGGUGAAGAAGGCCUUCGGGUUGGAAAGCCCUUUUGUUGGGAAAGAAAAGCAGCAGGAUGAAGCCCCGCUGUUCUGGCGGUACCCAAAGAAUAAGCACCGGCUAACUUCGUG
RNAcentral lists this ribosomal RNA (492 nucleotides) under uncultured bacterium. Its description in RNAcentral is "partial 16S ribosomal RNA". It matches the Rfam family "Bacterial small subunit ribosomal RNA", at positions 29 to 507 of the family's 1533-position model. The record is from RNAcentral.